Molecule: ribosomal RNA, 453 nt
Filed under: uncultured Paludibacter sp.
Lineage: Bacteria; Pseudomonadati; Bacteroidota; Bacteroidia; Bacteroidales; Paludibacteraceae
Description: bacterial SSU rRNA
Rfam family: Bacterial small subunit ribosomal RNA
Source: RNAcentral
ACGGAAGGCAGCAGUGAGGAAUAUUGGUCAAUGGCCGAGAGGCUGAACCAGCCAUGCCGCGUGAAGGUUAAGGUCCUAUGGAUUGUAAACUUCUUUUGUACGAGAGCAAUAAGUUCUACGUGUAGAGCGAUGAGAGUAUCGUACGAAUAAGCAUCGGCUAACUCCGUGCCAGCAGCCGCGGUAAUACGGAGGAUGCAAGCGUUAUCCGGAUUUAUUGGGUUUAAAGGGUGCGUAGGCGGUAUGAUAAGUCAGCGGUGAAAUGUUCUCGCUCAACGAGAAAAGUGCCGUUGAUACUGUUGUACUAGAGUUCGGAUGCCGUGGGAGGAAUGUGUAGUGUAGCGGUGAAAUGCUUAGAUAUUACACAGAACACCGAUUGCGAAGGCAUCUCACGAAUCCGACACUGACGCUGAGGCACGAAAGUGUGGGGAUCAAACAGGAUUAGAUACCCUGGUA